Mustela erminea (ermine) is the source of this 563-nucleotide long non-coding RNA. RefSeq lists it as uncharacterized. The transcript is spliced from 6 exons. NCBI's taxonomy places the organism in Eukaryota, Metazoa, Chordata, Mammalia, Carnivora, Mustelidae. The record is from RefSeq and is a predicted model, not a curated record.
GUUCCAGCACACUUAUACAGAACAGCAGGAAGAAAGUGGAGAUCACUGAAGGAAGAGCACAUCCGUUCAUUGUGUGAGAACUCUUGCAAAUCCAUGGGGAGACAAAGUUGAAGACAGAAAUGGACUGUGCCCUCAAGCACUGUAGUCAAGUCAAGGAGACAGAAAACUCUGGAGUUCCACUGUUUUCCUUGAUCGGUGAGCUUGGUCUGGCUGGAUGUUCUUGCUGAUCUUCUGGGGAAGGGGCCUGUUGCAGAUUUUUAACUUCUCCCUCUCCUUCCCUUCAUCACCAAAUUUCUAUGGGGUACUCCUUUUCCAGUUUUUCCCUUCUCCCCAGAAGAGAUUUCCUGUGCAAUGAAUCUAUGGAAAAGAAGGUUUUGGUUCAUUGCUUGGUCCAUGCACACUUAUGAUGGCUUCAUCUUGUUGGUGGAUUGACCAUUUUAUCAUUAUAUGACUCUCUGGUGUCAUACAAUUGAUGACCAAAGGAUAGAGAUGCUCCAGGAAGCUCUGGCUCUCAGGACAGUUGGAUGGAGUUUGAAUCCCAGCUCUGGUGCCUAUUAGUGGGG